GUGGGGAAUAUUGGACAAUGGGCGAAAGCCUGAUCCAGCCAUGCCGCGUGUGUGAAGAAGGUCUUCGGAUUGUAAAGCACUUUAAGUUGGGAGGAAGGGCAGUAAGUUAAUACCUUGCUGUUUUGACGUUACCGACAGAAUAAGCACCGGCUAACUUCGUGCCAGCAGCCGCGGUAAUACGAAGGGUGCAAGCGUUAAUCGGAAUUACUGGGCGUAAAGCGCGCGUAGGUGGUUCAGUAAGUUGGAAGGGAAAUCCCCGGGCUCAACCUGGGAACUGCUUUCAAAACUGCUGAGCUAGAGUACGGUAGAGGGUGGUGGAAUUUCCUGUGUAGCGGUGAAAUGCGUAGAUAUAGGAAGGAACACCAGUGGCGAAGGCGACCACCUGGACUGAUACUGACACUGAGGUGCGAAAGCGUGGGGAGCAAACAGGAUUAGAAACCCGGGUAGUCC
RNAcentral lists this ribosomal RNA (450 nucleotides) under uncultured bacterium. Its description in RNAcentral is "partial 16S ribosomal RNA". It matches the Rfam family "Bacterial small subunit ribosomal RNA", at positions 354 to 796 of the family's 1533-position model. The record is from RNAcentral.